Microbispora sp. ATCC PTA-5024 is the source of this 51-nucleotide non-coding RNA. Lineage: Bacteria; Bacillati; Actinomycetota; Actinomycetes; Streptosporangiales; Streptosporangiaceae. The record is from Rfam.
CGACCGGUACGCCGGUCGGCCCGACCCCGGUACCUGACACGGCCGGGGCGG